Molecule: ribosomal RNA, 505 nt
Filed under: uncultured bacterium
Lineage: Bacteria
Description: partial 16S ribosomal RNA
Rfam family: Bacterial small subunit ribosomal RNA
Source: RNAcentral
GACGAACGCUGGCGGCGUGCCUAAUACAUGCAAGUAGAACGCACAGUUUAUACCGUAGCUUGCUACACCAUAGACUGUGAGUUGCGAACGGGUGAGUAACGCGUAGGUAACCUGCCUGGUAGCGGGGGAUAACUAUUGGAAACGAUAGCUAAUACCGCAUAAUAUUAAUUAUUGCAUGAUAAUUGAUUGAAAGAUGCAACUGCAUCACUACCAGAUGGACCUGCGUUGUAUUAGCUAGUAGGUGAGGUAACGGCUCACCUAGGCGACGAUACAUAGCCGAACUGGGAGGGGGAUCGGCCACACUGGGACUGAGACACGGCCCAGACUCCUACGGGAGGCAGCAGUAGGGAAUCUUCGGCAAUGGACGAAAGUCUGACCGAGCAACGCCGCGUGAGUGAAGAAGGUUUUCGGAUCGUAAAGCUCUGUUGUAAGAGAAGAACGGGUGUGAGAGUGGAAAGUUCACACUGUGACGGUAUCUUACCAGAAAGGGACGGCUAACUACGUG